This 498-nucleotide ribosomal RNA is filed under the name uncultured bacterium. RNAcentral describes it as "partial 16S ribosomal RNA". It matches the Rfam family "Bacterial small subunit ribosomal RNA", at positions 28 to 507 of the family's 1533-position model. The record is from RNAcentral.
GACGAACGCUGGCGGCGUGCCUAAUACAUGCAAGUCGAACGAGAGCGACCGGUGCUUGCACUGGUCAAUCUAGUGGCGAACGGGUGAGUAACACGUGGGUAACCUGCCCAUCAGAGGGGGAUAACAUCCGGAAACGGAUGCUAAAACCGCAUAGGUCUUCGAGCCGCAUGGCUUGAAGAGGAAAAGAGGCGCAAGCUUCUGCUGAUGGAUGGACCCGCGGUGCAUUAGCUAGUUGGGGGGGUAACGGCUCACCAAGGCCGUGAUGCGGAGACGACCUGAGAGGGGGAUCGCCCACAUUGGAACUUGGACACGGCCCAAACUCCUACGGGAGGCAGCAGUAGGGAAUCGUCCGCAAUGGACGCAAGUCUGACGGAGCAACGCCGCGUGAGUGAAGAAGGUUUUCGGAUCGUAAAACUCUGUUGUUAGUGAAGAACAAGUGCUAGAGUAACUGUUAGCGCCGUGACGGUAUCUAACCAGAAAGCCGCGGCUAACUACGUG